RNAcentral lists this long non-coding RNA (10840 nucleotides) under Lynx pardinus (Iberian lynx). The record is from RNAcentral. Lineage: Eukaryota; Metazoa; Chordata; Mammalia; Carnivora; Felidae.
UAUCUCAAACCUUGGAACAAAUCAUCUCCAAGAACCCCAACCACAUUCCAGUCCUCAGGCAGGUUUGCAGUUAAAAAUCACACAACUUGGGUGGCCUGGAAAACCUGAAGCUAAAAAUUCAAUAUGGUCCCAAGUUGGUUAUGCCCCAGGCAGAAGUAAAUGAGAAGAUUCUCUGGAGGAACACAUAAAAAUGUACCAAACACGGGGCGCCUGGGUGGCGCAGUCGGUUAAGCGUCGGACUUCAGCCAGGUCACGAUCUCGCGGUCCGUGAGUUCGAGCCCCGCGUCAGGCCCUGGGCUGAUGGCUCAGAGCCUGGAGCCUGUUUCCGAUUCUGUGUCUCCCUCUCUCUCUGCCCCUCCCCCGUUCAUGCUCUGUCUCUCUCUGUCCCAAAAAUAAAAAUAAACGUUGAAAAAAAAAAAAAUUAAAAAAAAAAAAAUAAAAUGUACCAAACACUCUGGAAAAUCAGACUCAAUGAGCAAGAGACAACAAAAACAAAUCCAGGAAGAAUGCAGAUAUUAGAAUGAUCAGAAUCACAAUUUAUAACGAUGGAAAGGAUUAAUAUGAGGAAAGAGCAAACAACUACAUAGAAUGAUUAAGCAGCAGAUAGGAAAGUGAACCAAACAACUUGUAGAAAAAAACAAAAAAUAUAAAUGCAAUGGAUGGCUUUAAAGCAGAUUAGUCACAGCUGAAGAGAAAAUAAAAGGAUCAUGCAUAUAGCUAAGGAAGUACUAAGAGAAAACUGACAGCUUUCUAUGUUCAUAUUAAAAAAAGUCCUGUAUGGCCACGGCUGAAGCACCAGUGGCCAAAAUGAUGUUCAAUCUUUUGGUGACUUCUGAAUGGAGCAAGAACCACAAAAGGCAUUCCAAUGCAUCUUUCCACAUUUGCGGGAAGAUUAUGUCUUCCCCUCUUUCCACAGAGCUGAGAGAGAAGUAUGUUUGAUGUUCGAUCCAUGUCCAUCCAAAAGGAUGAUGAAGUUCAGGUUGUAGGAGGACACUACAAAGGCAAAUUGGCAAAGUAGCCCAGGUUUACGGGAAGAAAUAGGUCAUCUACGCUGAACAAGUACAGAGGGAGAGGGCGCACGGCACAACUGUCCACGUGGGCGUUCACCCCGGCCAGGUGGUUAUCACUAGACUCAACCUGGACAAGGACCUUGAACAGAAAGCCAAAUCUUGCCAAGUAGGAAAGGAAAAGGGCAAAUAUAAGGAAGAAACUAAUGAGAAAAUGAAGGAAUAAAGUAAUCUUAUAUAUGACUUUAAAUAAAUACUGUUAAAAAAUAAAAAAAAAAAACCUGUUAAAAUGAAAAAAAGUGUUGGGGCGCCUGGGUGGCUUGGUCGGUUAAGCGUCCGACUUCGGCUCAGGUCAUGAUCUCACGGUCCGUGGGUUCAAGCCCCGUGUCGGGCUCUGUGCUGACAGCUCAGAGCCUGGAGCCUGUUUCAGAUUCUGUGUCUCCCUCUCUCUCUGCCCCUCCCCUGUUCAUGCUGUUUCUCUCUGUCUCAAAAAUAAAUGUUAAAAAAAAAAAAAUUAAAAAAAAAAUGAAAAAAAGUGUUGAAAAGUUAUGUUAAAAAUUAAACUUGUUAGAAAAAGGAAAAAAAAAUGAUCUCUAAAGAGAAAAGUAUAAACGUGUAUUGAGAGACAUUCAAUAUGUUUGUCGACUGGAAGACUUAAUAUUAUAAAAAUAUCUAUUCUCUCCACAUUAACAUACAGAGAAUCAGUCCAACUGCAAUCAAAACCCAAGAGGUUUUCAAUUUUUGUUUAAGAACUUGAAAAACUGAGUCUAAAAUUUAAGUGAAGUUGUAAAGAUCAAGAAUUGCUAAGGAGAACAGUCAAAGGUCUUGAUUUGCCAAAUAUUAAGAUUUAUUAAAAAGUAUCAAAAUUAAGAGAGGAGGGAUAGACAAGUAGACCAGUGGAAAGGAGAGAGCCCAGAAACAGACUUGUUCAGAGAGGACAUGUGAUUUGUGCAGAGCUGUGGAGAAAGAACAAUUAAUGUUGGGACAAUAGUGCAUCCACAUGGAGAAAAAGGAAUGGACCCCAACCUCACACCAUACCCUCAAAGAAAUUCCUGGUAGAUUAAAGACCUAUGUGUGAAAAACAAAACCUGAAAGGAUUUAAAAAAGAAUAUGGAGGAAUUAUCUUCAUUACCUCUGGGCACAGAAGGAUUUCUUAAAGGAGACACAAAGGGAAGCAACCAUGAAGGAAAAGAUUGGUAACUUCUUUAAAAUCUCCUUGUUUAGCAAAAGAUGUAAUAAUAAGCACAUGAAAGACAAAUUACAGAGCACAAGAUAUUUGCAAAACAUAUACACAAUACCAGACCCGAUCCAGACCCACAAAGAACUCUUAGAAAUAGGAAAAAACCAAAGCCCAAUCAAACUAAGACAAGCAAAAAAAAAGCCCAGAGAAACUAACAGUGGGCAAAUGGGACCUAAAUGGGCAAAAGACUUGACAGAAAUUUCACAAAAAAAGUGAAGCAUGUAAAAGUUAGUAAAGUAUAGCUAGCUAUAUGAACUGUAUUUUUUAUUUUCUGUAUUCUGACAUCCAGGGCCUUGGGAGGGACUAUCCCUCCCAAGGUUUACCAAUUCCUACAGAUAGUGUAAAUCACUCGCCUGGUGUGCUUUUCAAAUACAAACCCGCCAAUCCAGAGCCCCAACACCCCAACCACCUCCUUGGGGUCACUAUCCACCUGUCCUAAUCUCCUGUGCCAGGUAAUCUCCUGACAAGAGACAACACCUAUAACCCAGAGCCCGCUGAAAUUAUUCAAACUAGCCAAUCCGAAACCCGCUUACCUUGCCCUGCCUGUUGCUUCCCGUGGAAACCACAGCAAAGACUCCUGCCUACCUGCUCUUUCUACGGCUGCCUUCUGACCGACCCUGGUGCAUUUCCCUGUGGCCGUGUGAGGCAAGAUGUACCUUUUCUCUUGGGUACUGUAACAAAGUAUCUUUUCAGUGGUAAUCACCUCCUGAUCUGUGGCAGUUACUAUACGUCAAAUUUUCUAUUAAUACUCUAUAUCGCAAAAUAACACCUUCAUCAGUAAUCAGAGAAAUGCAAAUUAAAAUCACAAGAUACCAUCACACUGACAACACUGGCAAAGAUUAUAAUGUUUGAUAUUGACACAAUAAAGUGUGGAUGAAUACAUCCAACCGGAAGACCAACAUAUUGCUGGUGUGGUGUAUAUAAUUAGAACUCUUUUUUUUUUUUGUUAGUAUCUUAAUUUCUUUUUGAGACAAAGAGAGGGAGACAGCAUGAGCAGGGGAGGGGCAGAGAGAGAGGGAGACACAGAAUCCGAAGACAGGCUCUGAGCUGUCAGCACAGAGUCCAAAGCGGGGCUCGAACUCACAAACCGCGAGAUCAUGACCUCAGCCGAAGUCAGACACCUACCGACCGAGCCACCCAGGCGCCCCUAGAACUCUUUUCAAAAACAGUGUGGCUUUAUCCAGUCAAGUUGAAAACAUGCUUACUCCUAGGUGCAUAUAUCCUGGAGAAACUCCUGUUUGUUUGCAGUACUGCGAUAGCAUACAUGUUCAAAAUAUUCGUAGCAGCACUGUUUUUAAUGGCAAAAAAUAGAGAACACCUCACAUAUUCACCAAUAACAAAGGAAAUACAAUGGGAUAUCAUACAGUUGUAAAACAAAACGAUUAUAAUUGUAUGCAACAAUGUGGGUGAGUCGCAGGAGUGUAAUACUGAGUGGAAAAUAAUCAUUGCAAGUCUUUACAGUAGGAUUCCAUUUACAGAAAGUUCAGGAAAAUAGAAAAUGAGGGGCCCCUGGGUGGCUCAGUCUGUUGAAAGUCUAACUCUUGAUUUUGGCUUAGGUCACGAUCUCAAGGUUUGAGGGUUUGAGCCCCGCUGAUAGCUCACAGUGCAGAGCCUGCUUGGGAUUCUCUCACUCCUUCUCUGCCCCUCUCCCACGCUCUGCCUCUCGUUCUCAAAAAUAAACAUUAAAGGGGGCGCCUGGGUGGCUCAGUUGGCUAAGCAUCCAACUUAGGCUCAGGUCGUGAUCUUGAGGUUCAUGAGUUCAAGCCCUGCAUCGGGCUCUGUGCUGUCAGCUUGAAGCCUGGAGCCUGCUUCGGAUUCUGUGUCUCCCUCUCUUUCUGCCCCUCCCCCACUCACUCUCUGUCUCUCUCUCUCUAAACAUUACAAAAAUUUUUUUACUUAAAAAAAAAAUAAACAUUGAAUAAAAAAAGAAAAUAGGAAAUGAAACAAUAAACCAUUUAAAAACAAACAUAUAGUGGUUACCCCUGAGGGAGUAAGGAAGGCAAUGGUAACGGAGAAGAGCAAAGGUGAUGCUGUCUUUUUUCUUAAACUUGGUGGUGGUCUGUGGUGCUCACUGUAAUAUUAUUUUUCAUAUCUUACAUGCAUUUUGUAAAUAUUCUUUUGUAGCUACUGAAUUCUUAAUAUAAACACUUCCCCAAAAAGUGGGUAUUAAGAUUAGUUUUAUAAUGGUGUGGGUCCAAGGGCAUACCGUCUUCACUGGUGUGGGGCUCUGUACCAGCGUCCUGAUCCACUUCCUCCAGUGUACCGUGCUCACUGUAUGGGCUGUCGCUGCCAAGUGCAAACAGAAAUUCACGUAAAGCCAAAGGAAGAAUUUCAAAAAUGAACUAGUGCUACUCUACGUAAAGAUGUAGGACUUUGGAAUGGCAAAAGAGUCAGUUACUGGAGAGCCUUUCCAUUAGACCCUGGAGCCUCCGAGGAUUAUCUGGUCUUAUGGGAGUCUAGGUCCUUCAUCUUUGGUCAUUCGUAUCCACAGAAGUUAAAGUUGGCUGAAUUCUAGCGGAGUGCGAUGAUUGUGCUACGGCGACACCAGUUUUUGUAAAUUCGUGUCACUAUUCCUUACUGCAUAUAAAUUGAUGGCUCUUUGAUUUCUGCUUUGAAUCGACUGUAGUAUCUUUCCCAUCUUCUGACACAUGUUCAUUUUAGAUUCGUGAGACUCACGAUUUUAUUCUUUUUAAAAACUUACCCUUUAACACUACCACACUCCUCAAAUAUGUGCUGGUGAAUGGGAUGCAUCUACCACAAAGAGAAACCUGACAUUGCUGUAAAAGCCCACUUAAGUUGCUGGUGUUGGCGAGAAAGAGUAACUGCUUUAUCACUGACUUUCUGUUUAAAAUGAGCGAUUGCCCGUGGAAACACUAUGAAUGGGAAAAGGACACAAUCAAGCACAGGUGACUGGCUGCAAGCCUCCUUAUUAGGGACUUUACCCUGUUUGUGGAAAAGUGGUGACCACAAAAGUUGUAGGAUACAACACAUCAGAUAAUACCGACCGGACCUCCACAUAUCGCUCUUUGAUAACAGGAGUAAGAGCAAAACUUACUGAUAUGGCCCUGAAUAUUUGGAAGUGCCAAGAUACUGGCUUUACAGUAAGUAUGACUCUGAAGAUAAAAUUAUGCAUCUCGCCAGGGCUGAGUUUUAUACAUUUAUCUUCCUAGAGCCAAGAUCAGUCAGUACCUUGCACAUAGUAAGUGCUCAAGUGAAUAUUUUUAAACUCGAAUUUCACGUGUAAAAUUACUGGCUACACCACAGAACUGGAAUCUAUCAUGAUUUGUUGUUAAUUUAGAAAGAAGUGCUUCUGGAAAUAGUUAAUCUUCAGUUUUCUUAAGGCAUAAGCCAAUCGUAAUGUGUUUUAAGCCCAUUAUUAUGGUUUAGGUGUACUUUCAGGUACUUAAGAUCUUUCAGCUAUCUACCUUCUACUUAAUCCCCGGUGAGGCAAUGGGAUGUGUCCUGAGGAGCGUCCAGAAUGGGUUUACAUAGGUCUCCUUCCAGCUGCUCCUGGAUCUGAGCUGCACAGAACAGUUUCUGAAGUGGGCUAGGAGGCAGCUGUUGAGUGGGAAGGGUCAUGUGGGCUUUGGAAUCAGACAGACCUGGGCUGCCUGCAGUUACAAUUAGUCAUUGGACAGGCUUCUUGGCCUCACUUUACUUGGUAGAGUGGUUAGUGUAUAAGGUGAUCACAUGCACCAAGGAGCUGGCACACAGUAGGAGUUCAAGGAUUAAAAUAAAUUUGCUUAAAACGACCAUUACUACUAUAAUUGGUUAGGAUAAUAUUUAUUAGUAAGAAUGGAUAUAAGAAUGAAAACAUAUUUGGUUGAGAGGGCUCCUUUAAAAUGAUAAACUUGAAAUACUUACAGCCCAAACUAUUUCAGAAUGAAACUGAAAUCUGUCAAUCAGUUAUCUUUGAUAUAAAAGUAAAAUUAGCACAGCUCUAUACGAUACGUUUCAAAACCACUAUUCUCUACAGAAGUUACAAUAGGGUGGAUAGAUCUUAAAGGAUGUCAUCCUUGAGGGAAAAGGGAAGGGAUGAAUAGGAAUUUCCCUAGUGAGAGGCCAUGCUGUCAUGGGUCUUAGUAUUCUCAUCUAAUCUAAAGAAGUGUUCCUGCUGCUUCUUUUUUUAAAAAAUUGGAAUCUUUGGCAACUUACAGUCAAUUCUUUUUCUUAAUUGAAUUGAUAUGUAUACUUCCAUGGUUUUUCCAGGGCAGGGGAAAGACUAAAAUGCUUGGACUUACCAGUAGUCAUCCCCAGCCAUACAUUUCUCAUAAACAGGGCCAUCCAGCUCUUUAGCAUCCGGGAAAAUAGUUUCAUGGUGGAUGAUGAUGGUUUUGACAAUUUCAUUCACAUGCGCCUGACAAGACACUUGAUCCUGUAUUUCUGGGACGGGCAUCAAUGUCGGGCCAAAACAAAUGGCCAGGUUAUAAGGGUCCAUCAUGUUCUCAUCGCUGUACUGUGAAAGGCUAUGAAAAAAAGAAAAGUUAUAAAAGGCGAGAGAGAAAAAACAAAACUGUUUUUUUUUUUAAAUGUUUGUUUAUUUUUGAGAAAGAGAAAGAGAGAGAGAGAGAGAGAGAGAGCGCGCGAACAUGAGCAGGGGAGGGGCAGAGAGAGAUGCAGACACAGAAUCCAAAGCAGGCUCUAGGCUGUAAGUGCAGACCCCAACGAGGAGUUUGAACCCAUGAACCACAAGACCUUGACCUGAGCCAAAGUCGGAUGCUUAACCGACUGAGCCACCCAGGUGCCCUGAAAACUGAUGUUUAAUAAAACACUUUAUAUUUUGAAAAUAGGGAUCCAAAGCAUUUUAUUUGGUUUUUGUUAUUAGAAUAAGAUGAUAUUCCAUACUACUUUAAGUUGGCUCAACAAAUUCCAAAGGAAGUAAAGCAACUUACAAACUUUCAACUAGAAAGAAACUGAAAGGGGAAUAUAAAUCCUACUUACUUAAUUAAGUGGCAUUUUUCAAAGCCACAAGAGUUUAAGAUAAUUUCUAUUCCAAUGGAGACCAGGAUCAAGUAAAUGAGUUUCAUUUGUAAAUACUAUGGUCAGGCUCUAAAUGCUACUCAAGUAAAUCUGGGAAGGUCAGUAGUGAGCUCCAUAAAAUUUGAUGGAUGUCGUCAAAAUUGUCCUCCCACUAAUCAAAAACAUCUCAGAUUUCAGUUUUUUCCCAUAAAUCUUGAGGAAAGCCUUGAGGAAAACAAAGCACCCUUUCUUUGUAACCACUGAAAGAAGGCAAACAACUCUGGGCUUUAUGAUGUGCUUUUGGGUAAGACCACCAACACUACCCUGUCAAUGUCAGAAGAGACACUGUUAAGUGCAAGAGAAGGGGAAAAGAAUCCCCAGUUCUCUCAUUCCUUUUAAAGCUGGCAAAUGACAAACUUUGGGGAGAUUUCUGGUUGCCUCAAACUAAUUUCUAAAUUCGACUCCAUGGGUAUCUGUGAGGUAUUUUCCACAAGGGCCUCAAAAUAAGUCUGCUCUUUUUCACUCUAACAUGUGCACAAAGUGUUGUUCUAGGGAGAAGCUAGAGAUGUUAUCUUUUUGUGAAGAAAAUGUCAAUCUUGAAAGGACAUAUAAAAUCCAGGUGAACAGAUGACAAAUGCAAGAAGGAAAAAAGAGACUCAGCCACAUUUGUGGGAUGGUGACAGACACAAAGACAUUGAAAUACCACAUGACCUGAUACUUUACCCUUUUUUGGAACUGAUAGCCUAGAAAGUCGAAAAUACAAAAGCAUUAUCUCCUCAGCUAACAUAUGUCUUUCCCUUCUGCCAUUUCUCAAGCAGACAGUCUUUAAAAAAAGUUCACAAUAAAGGGGACGGUCAUGUUACAGAUCAUCUGGAAAACGGAUGCACAGAGGACAAGUGAGAUUCAGAGUAAGAAUGGUCUAAUUUUCAAAAGACACAAGUAAGCUCAACAGGGAGAGUCACAAUUCAUCUUUCUGGGUCUUUCAUUUAGUGCUGGCUUGAAGAGCAAAAUCUUCAUAUAAAAAUGUGAUAUCCAGGUUUCAACUUCUCAAUUAAAAGAGAAUAGGUUAUUUCUUUUCUCAAAAUUCCUGUCCCACGCGUCCUAUCCUAGAGGUUGAGGCUGGUCUCUGCAUGAAGGCAGGUGUAGCAAGCCGGGGGCAUCUUUGGGCAGACAUGCUGAAAGCAAUGCCAGCCGGCUGACUCCUGGCACAUUUGCUGUUCUGUUGAGAUACAUGGUGAGUUCGAGUCGGGUUUUGAGAACUUUCUUUUAAAAAAGUUUUUUUAAAGUUUACUUAUUUAUUUUUGAGAAAGAGACUGAGAGGCGAGUGGGGAGGGGCAGAGAGAGAGGGAGAGAGAGAAAGAGAGAGAGAGAAAAUCCCUGGCAGGCUCUGCACUGUCAUCACGGAGCCUGAUGCAGGGGCUCGAACUCAUGAACCACGAGAUCGCGACCUAAGCCGAAAACAAGAGUUGGAUGCUUAACCAAAUGAACCACCCAGGCGCCCCUGGUUUUGAGAACUUUCUUGAUUUAUGGUCUGCUUUCCUAGUCUACUGUGGUUUUUUGGUUCAUGGUGGGUUUUGCUCAGGUGUGUCUGGAAAAUUCGGUGGGGACAGCAUGCAGAGGGCCAGCGGCAAUGCAAAAGGCACUUCAUACUGGGGGAAGUGAAGCAAUUAAAGGUGAAGACAGCAAGCCUCCAGAUUUUUGUUUUUUAUGAAUUUGAGGAUUUAAUACUAAUGAGGGAGUAAGAUUUACACACACACACACACACACACCCGACCCAAGGUCACUGGGGAUGGAUCAUGAACACCUUUGCUUCAACAAUUCCAUUUUCAGCAAUGCAGGUCAAAUUCCUGAAUUCAUAGAAAUUCAGGCUCCUGUCCACGUUUCCCUAUUUCCAGCUUCAUUAUAGCAACAGGGGUGCGUAUUUGAGUUGAGUGCCUUGGAUGUGAUUUGCCAUCAACUCUCUCGUUCAGGCCCCGAAGCCCACUGUCCAACAGGCUCUGGUUCAUGAAGCUCUCUUGAAUUUUUGUCUUAGGCUCUUCCAGAGCUUGUAAAUGACAGCAGCUUGUUGAGAUGUGACCGCCCCUUGCUUUUUGGUUUAAGCAGUCAAGAAUGCCUCCAGUUGGUUGUCUACAGAUGCAACAGACCUACGAAUCCCCCUCAUCUUUGCCAGAAAGGGGCAGAGCUCUUCAGGUGAUGCCUCCACAUAGAGUCGGUUCCGCAGCAGCAACUCCGUGAUGUCCUGGUGCCCGUGGAAAGCUUUCUAGGCAAGGCUGCUCAGCAGCCCGCUCAGAGGUUUGGAGCCCGCGAGCUUGCCUGCCAUAGUCAGCAAGCCUUCAGAUUUUUAAAGCUGCCUGGGUAACUAGGCUUAUUUAAAGGCAAAAUUUAUAGCCAUCUAUUUAACCUACACAUAGUGUAUAUCCAUCUCUCUAGAUACUGCUUAUUUCCAGUGGCGACUUCUGUACAAAUGGGUUCCUACUGUCACUUGUGCAUAUUUUACUUCCUUGCAAGCAUUUCCCCAUGAUACUUGGUUUCCAGGGUCAAUCCGACUGGGUAUGAUUUCAGAAAUGGUUAGCAGGAUUGUAGUAAGUCCUCAUGGCUUCUGAGAACUUUAAACGUCUAAUGAAGUAGAGAACAUAUCCUAAUUUUAGGAAGGGAGAAUCCGUGCCACAUGGAGAAGGCAUUUCCCUGAGCUUACUCCCCUUCGAUCAUUGAAUACCAAGGGGACUCUCAGAUAUGACUUGAGGAAGAUAGUCUUAUAAUGGGCCCCAUUUUUGUUAUUAUAAAGUAAUGCAAAUGAAAAUCCAGUUGCCUAAAUUAUAACAAUAAAGUUUCUUUGAAAAUAAGGCAGUGAUUAUCUUAAGGGUUCUGUGACAUUGUUUUAGAGACUUUUAGAAGUAUCUUCUUCUUGACGAGGUCUCAUUAUAUUGAAUUUGCAGACACUCUUUCUUGGAUCUGUAUAUAAUUUGCACCUAUAGUUGCACUCCUCCCUUGACUACAACAUCAAAAAUCACAGACAUUUUCUGCAGUGAGCAGGUGGGUUGCAUCAUUUUGACAAAAACAUUCAUGACAUUAGCUUUGGAUGGAAGUUGGAAAAACAUGUAUUUCACUGAACAAGUGUUCUUUUUAGUAAUAUUUGUAUAUUUUUGCACGUAAGGCCACAGUUUCUGCAUCUUUCAUCUAUCAUGCAAUGACCUUGAUCUGCUGAGGAAAAACAUAACUUUGGUCUACAUUUAAUCAUCUCCUCUUCGACUCUGCUGAUAAACGGGACCUAACGUACAUUUUACAGAAUCCAAGAACAAAAACAGAAUUCAGAGCAGUGCAAACGGAAUGGAAGACAGGCAUUUUGGCAGAGCAUUAGGGUACUUACUGAUUGAGGAAGGCAAAGAGGUACCUCAUCACGAUAAGGACGGACCUAGGCAAGGUCAGGAGGAGUUUGCGGAUGUGAAGCGCCCUCUCAUAGAGAUUAUCUAUUCCUACAGACAGAAGAGAACAUGGUCAGGAUCCUUUCAUCUGCUACAUUUAAAGUAGAACACUGAGUACCAAAUUUCAUAUCCGACCAUAAGCAAUCCUUUGGCCCUAGGUGGGACGUAACUGUAAUCAAGACAGUGAAUCCAUGAUCAGCUUGGGUGUAACA